Molecule: ribosomal RNA, 415 nt
Filed under: uncultured prokaryote
Description: bacterial SSU rRNA
Rfam family: Bacterial small subunit ribosomal RNA
Source: RNAcentral
GUGUCAGCCGCCGCGGUAACACGUAGGUGUCGAGCGUUAUCCGGAAUUACUGGGCGUAAAGCGCACGCAGGCGGCACGACAAGUCUCGUGUGAAAGCUCUCGGCUCAACCGGGAGAGGUCGCGGGAAACUGUCGUGCUUGAGGCAGGGAGAGGGGCGUGGAAUUCCCGGUGUAGCGGUGGAAUGCGUAGAUAUCGGGAGGAACACCAGUGGCGAAGGCGGCGCCCUGGCCCUGUCCUGACGCUCAGGUGCGAAAGCGUGGGGAGCGAACGGGAUUAGAUACCCCGGUAGUCCACGCUGUAAACGAUGCGAACUAGGUGUGGGCAGUAUUGACCCUGUCCGUGCCGUAGCUAACGCGCUAAGUUCGCCGCCUGGGGAGUACGGCCGCAAGGCUAAAACUUAAAGGAAUUGACGGGG